GAUGAACGCUGGCGGCGUGCCUAAUACAUGCAAGUCGAGCGAACGGACGAGAAGCUUGCUUCUCUGAUGUUAGCGGCGGACGGGUGAGUAACACGUGGAUAACCUACCUAUAAGACUGGGAUAACUUCGGGAAACCGGAGCUAAUACCGGAUAAUAUUUUGAACCGCAUGGUUCAAAAGUGAAAGACGGUCUUGCUGUCACUUAUAGAUGGAUCCGCGCUGCAUUAGCUAGUUGGUAAGGUAACGGCUUACCAAGGCAACGAUGCAUAGCCGACCUGAGAGGGUGAUCGGCCACACUGGAGCUGAGACACGGUCCAGACUCCUACGGGAGGCAGCAGUAGGGAAUCUUCCGCAAUGGGCGAAAGCCUGACGGAGCAACGCCGCGUGAGUGAUGAAGGUCUUCGGAUCGUAAAACUCUGUUAUUAGGGAAGAACAUAUGUGUAAGUAACUGUGCACAUCUUGACGGUACCUAAUCAGAAAGCCACGGCUAACUACGUGCCAGCAGCCGCGGUAAUACGUAGGUGGCAAGCGUUAUCCGGAAUUAUUGGGGCGUAAAGCGCGCGUAGGCGGUUUUUUAAGUCUGAUGUGAAAGCCCACGGCUCAACCGUGGAGGGUCAUUGGAAACUGGAAAACUUGAGUGCAGAAGAGGAAAGUGGAAUUCCAUGUGUAGCGGUGAAAUGCGCAGAGAUAUGGAGGAACACCAGUGGCGAAGGCGACUUUCUGGUCUGUAACUGACGCUGAUGUGCGAAAGCGUGGGGAUCAAACAGGAUUAGAUACCCUGGUAGUCCACGCCGUAAACGAUGAGUGCUAAGUGUUAGGGGGUUUCCGCCCCUUAGUGCUGCAGCUAACGCAUUAAGCACUCCGCCUGGGGAGUACGACCGCAAGGUUGAAACUCAAAGGAAUUGACGGGGACCCGCACAAGCGGUGGAGCAUGUGGUUUAAUUCGAAGCAACGCGAAGAACCUUACCAAAUCUUGACAUCCUUUGACAACUCUAGAGAUAGAGCCUUCCCCUUCGGGGGACAAAGUGACAGGUGGUGCAUGGUUGUCGUCAGCUCGUGUCGUGAGAUGUUGGGUUAAGUCCCGCAACGAGCGCAACCCUUAAGCUUAGUUGCCAUCAUUAAGUUGGGCACUCUAAGUUGACUGCCGGUGACAAACCGGAGGAAGGUGGGGAUGACGUCAAAUCAUCAUGCCCCUUAUGAUUUGGGCUACACACGUGCUACAAUGGACAAUACAAAGGGUAGCGAAACCGCGAGGUCAAGCAAAUCCCAUAAAGUUGUUCUCAGUUCGGAUUGUAGUCUGCAACUCGACUACAUGAAGCUGGAAUCGCUAGUAAUCGUAGAUCAGCAUGCUACGGUGAAUACGUUCCCGGGUCU
RNAcentral lists this ribosomal RNA (1373 nucleotides) under uncultured bacterium. Its description in RNAcentral is "bacterial SSU rRNA". It matches the Rfam family "Bacterial small subunit ribosomal RNA", at positions 28 to 1381 of the family's 1533-position model. The record is from RNAcentral.